Molecule: long non-coding RNA, 13935 nt
Organism: Orcinus orca (killer whale)
Lineage: Eukaryota; Metazoa; Chordata; Mammalia; Artiodactyla; Delphinidae
Exons: 2
Source: RefSeq, a predicted model, not a curated record
AGAUGCGGGGCAUGAAUGGGCAGAGACACCCUGAGUAAUAUCCUCAGAUGCAGGACAGACCCGGUGACUGUGGGCGCUCCUGCUACAAACUGCUGUCGCCCAGGCGUCACCGUCGUGCCGUCGCGUCAGUUCUCUUGGGAAUGGAAGCUCCUUGGGGCUGGCUGCGGGCAGCCUUCGGUGGCCCCGGUCCUGAGGACAUGAGGUGUCCUGGUGGCAGCACCUGGCCCCGCAGCUUGCCCUCCACACGGCAGCGUGUGGCUCUUCCUCUCUGUGUUGUGUCCUCCAGAUCUGUGACCCCUCCUUUAGGGGUGCAAGGCUGCCGCAGAUGGGAGAAGGGGCUCCUGAAGGAUCAAAUGAGGCGAAACUCUGGACAUUGUGUGACUGCUUUUAGACGAUGGAUGGGUAGGUGGAUGGACCGAUGGCUAGGUGAUAGAUAGACAGACAUGCAUGUGAAUUGUUCCCUGCCUCAGCCGUCUGAUAGAAAUCCACGUGGCUCUGUUGCCAUGGCCCCUGCUGCCCUGCUGUGCGCUCAUCUCAGAAUGUAAGUUCUGGACGCGAGGGUCGUGGUCACUCUGACUGGCCUCUGCACCAAAGUUCCAUUCCCAGCAGGAGGCCACAGGAUUCUGCAGGAACCUGGAGCCUGUGCAGGAGGGACGGACUGACUUGCACAAACACGCACUUGCUCGCAUUCUGGCUCAGACUCGCACACGCAUCUCACGCUCGCGCUCCCACCUUACAGCCCGGGAGAACCCGGAAGAGCAGGGAGGCUUGUGCUCUCGGGACUCAGGUGAGGAAGCUGAGGCCCGGGUUGCCUUCGCUGAAGGAGUCAGGUCAUGAGAGCCUGCUCUUUGGGGUGAGCUGAGGAAACUCCGUUCUUUGUCAAUGCUCCCCAAUUCCAGGGAACCUUGAGAUCCCUCCUGCGUGGGCGAGGACCGCUGCGGGCUGGAAAGUCAUCGACACCACUGAGCAGCGGCUCAGGAAGGCACAGGGUCAGUUGCAUCCAUGCUGCUGCAAGUGGCGUUAGUACAGCAGAGACGGGCACGACGUCGUAAAUCAACUAUAUCUCAAUUAAGAAAAGAAAAGAAGAUUUAAAAGUUGUGCACGGCCUGAUGCAACUAUUGGUCCUGGCUUUCAGGGCAGCUUCUUGAGAAAAUAAUGCAAAAUUCUGGAGAUUAAAAAAAGUUUUAGAAGACAAGGACAGGUUGCCAGUGAGCUUCAUCUCGCUGCUCCUGCGGUGUUCCCUGUCUUGCCACCUGCCCAGGGGAGAAGCUGUGUCCUCUUCCUGACUCUCGCCAGCCACGUGUGCCCUCCAGGCCUCCGUUGCGUCAAUGGCCCAGGGGUGUGACAGCCUCCUCCCACAGGGGCUGUCACAGAACUGUAGUCGACAGUUGGCGGGGUGCCCGGGAUGAUGACAAUUUAAUAAACGUUGGGCGCGUCCUGCUCUAGGUAUUCCGGCACAGCUUGGUGAUGGCAGGUGGCCUAAGGGGAAGAGUGAACCGUCUGUUUCGGACUUUGCUCUAGAAGAUUCUGUUACUGGACAACCCUCUAGGUCCCCCACCAGAUCCCGUGGUUCCUCCAGGCCAGCCCUUUCCUGACCUGGGGUUGAGAUGCCAGAGGACAGACUCGGCGAUGGGGGACCAUGGACCUCCACUUGGGACUUGGGAAGCUGUCGCCGCCGACACAGCCUGUGGGACCCAUCCCCCAGUGGAGAAGGCACGCGGACGCGGACAGAGCUCACGGCCUCGUCCCCUCGGACCUUGACCUGUUAGUUUUUACUACGGUCGUUUCUUGAGUGUCCGUUCAUUGAACUCUCAUCACAGACAGAGCGCCCACGUGCCCAGCCGAGGGCCCAGACGCCGUCACACGAAGGCAUGGUCUCUGCCCUCAUUUCAGUUGGCUGCUUCUUUCCAACUAAAAGUAAAACGUUUAAACCAAGUAACGAUUUGUUUUCUAAUCCAGAUGUACACUUCUGGACUGGGUCUGUGCUUGCUGUUUCUGCCUCUGGUUUUCCAAAUCUGUAAAGCUGGGGCGUGUUCAGCAUGACAGUGAGGGAUGUUGGCUAAGAGGGGGGAGACAACACACGUGCCGUGCUGGUCUCGGUGCUUGGGUGGGCGCCGGUAAGCACAGAGUGACCGGAGAUAGAGCGUGCUGGGCGUGACUAAGUGAAAAGCACACGGGCUUUUGACCAUCUCUUCCCUUUAGAGGAACAUCAUGAUUGCCAAUUCUUUUUUUUUUUUUUUAAUUUAUUGAAGUAUAGUUGAUUUAUGAUGUUACGUUCAUUUUUGCUGUAUAGUAAAGUGAUUCAGUUAUACAUAUAUAUUCUUUUUCAUAUUCUUUUCCAUUAUGGUUGAUCACAAGAUUUUGAAUAGAGUUCCCUGUGCUCUACAGUAGGACCUUGUUGUUUAUCCAUUCUUUAUAUAAUAGUUUGCAUCUGCUCAUCCCAAACUCCCAAUCCAUCCCUCCCCCACCUCCUCCCACUUUUUAUUGCCAUUUCUUGAGGCUGUAUUUUUAGUGAGCUCCUUAGGAUUUCAACUUGUAGAAAUGCUUCCAUAAAUCAAAUUUAAUGAUACCUUUUAACCAGCCCCCCAAGUGCCAGGUGGUCUCCAUAAGAUGACAAAUAACAUAAAAGAAUAAAAUAAUCAGCUGGAGAAAACUUGCAGAGCAUCAGGUAAAAAAAUUUUGUUGUCAACCCUAUUUUAUUGUGUUUCUGAACGCACUAGAGAGUUGUUUUGCUUCAUUGCCAAUUUAUCUUUGGUCUUAGAGAUGAAGACACCCAGGUUUUAUUCCUCAUCUGAAGUUAGUGUUACAGACGUCGUAGUGAUCUUAGUGAUACUAAGAGCAGCCGUCCUCUGUGAGUCUCUACUGUAGACGGAGAACUUCUGAUACGGGAUUUUAUAAGCAGUCAUUUUUAGCCCCAUCAACAGAGGAAGGAGACGAGGUGCUGAGAGCUUAAGUAAGAACUGGUGCCAGGCCCACAGCUCACGACAGAGGAGCCGGACACCGUGGACCUGGGAAAAGCGCCUCCACCUCCAGGGGCCUCCAUGCUCUGAGAGUUCUAGACCCAGGUGUACGCCAGAGAGUUUCCAGUCUCUAAGUGCUGGGUCUGUGUAGGCAGGACAAUCUGCAUAACAAUAACCCAGAGCCAGAAAGAGGCCUGUGGUAAAGCGACUGAGAAAAACUCACAGAUUAAAGUCAACACAGCAAAGUAAUAAAACUAUGACUUUUGAUUGUUAUAUUGUUUUAUUAUUACAAGAUGCUUGAUUAUAACAAUUCAAAAGAACAUGCUCGUACUAUAUUAAAAAUAUUAAAAUGUGUGAGAGUAAAAACUAUGGUGUAAAGUAAAUCUUGUGUAAUUCUCCUAAAUGGAACGUGGUGCCAAGGAUCAGGUUUCGUUAGUGUUGUUUUUUAUAAAUUUAUUUAUUUAUUUAUGUUUGUCUUCUUUGGGUCUUUGUUGCUGUGCGCGACUUUCUGUAGCUGCGGCGAGCGGGGGCUACUCUUCGUUGUGGUGCACGUGCUUCUCCUGUUGUGGAGCGUGGACUCUAGGCGUGCAGGCUUCAGUAUUUGUGGCACGCGGGCUCAGUAGUUGUGGUGCAUGGGCUCAGUAGUUGUGGCUCGCGGGCUCUAGAGCGCAGGCUCAGUAGUUGCGGCGCACGGGCUUAGUUGCUCCGCGGCAUGUGGAAUCUUCCUGGACCAGGGCUUGAACCCGUGUCCCCUGCAUUGGCAGGCGGAUUCUUAACCACUGCACCACCAGGGAAGCCCUCCGUUAGUGUUUUUAUUGUUCUUUUUUUUUUUUUUUAAUGAAAUAACUAAAGGAAAAAAUGGCUUCCUUCAGAUUUAUAAAAGAAAUUGAAUUCAAGCCUGAUAGCAAAGUCAUUGUUUCUUGGUAAUCUUUAGUGUCAAUAUACUGUAAGACAAAAGGACAUGAAUUGGUUAAAUGGGCACCCCCCGCAUUCCCCCAGCCCCUGCAUAUGGCGCCCAUGUGACAUUUUUGCACAUCCUGAAACGUGGAGGUGGAAGCAUCAUUUCAUUCCUCUCUCUGGGUGUCCAGCAGUGACUGAUAUAAAUAUUUUAUCAGGCAAACCUGCAGGUUUCUGAAGAUUGUAUGUCUUAUCAAGUUAACCCUUAUAAUUACGUUGUCUUCGGCAGCUAUGGGAUCUCUUUUACUUUUGCCGUUCUUUGGUAAAUAUCGAACCGUAAGAAAGAUGUACAGCCGUAAGCUGAGACGUGCAAACCACUCCUGGCGUGACGUGGGGGUGAAGGGGCCCCCGCUCCAGGGCUCUGCACACGCCACCUCUCCGAGGAGAGGCCCAAUUAGGCCAGAAAGUAAUCUUCAUCCUUCCUGCCCCCCUGACCAGUCUUCUCUCUCUCUGCUCGGGUUUGGACCCGCCUCCCUCCUCCGUUUUGCAAGGGAACUUUCCUGCUGCAAUCACACCCCCCCCAGGAGGGGCCGGGGCGUUGGGGCAGGGAAGCUCGGGCUUGGCUGGGCUCCCGUCCUGCGCGCCCCUCCCCCGCCGGGGCACUGGUUUCUUCCUGUCAUCGUUUUGUGUUCUGCUCCGUGGCCCCGUGGGCACAGCCAUCAGAGCACCGGAUGCUUGACCCUUUGGUGCAAACGCUCGGCUGUCCUGCAUGGGGCAGGAGGGAGCCCCUUAUGGCCCCCGAGUGUGCACGGGGAGCGGCAGUCAGAGGUCAGCCCGCGUCCUUGAUGUGCCCCACCGCCCGCGCCGGCCUGUCUCUCCUCUCCACCCGUGCCCGCGGAGCCCAGCCCCGUACACGGCGCCUUUGAAGCUAAUGGAGGCUGCUCCUUGGAUGUGCCUGGCGGGGACCCUUCCUUCUCCACCGUGGGCACUUCUCUGUCUCUCUCUCCCUGCCUGCCUAUCUCAUCCUGAUCACUCGUGCUCAAAGGUAAUUACAUCUCUCACACCCCCUGUACACAUGGCCCCGAACGGGUCUCUGGAGAAAUGUUAUGAGCCGAACAACAUGGCAGGCAGUGAGCUCGAAAGCCACCAUCCGUGUUGAAUUCUGAGCGGUAGGAGAUAUAAAACAGGACAUGUCCAUGGAAUUGUGCAGCAGUGGGAGGGAGGCUCUCUCCUGCCUGACUUUCAUGAGGGUGCUUUCUGCCAGCCCUGUCUUGAGCCAUGUCCUGUGAAUGGUGAUGAUGGGACUUUGGUCCUGGGGUCCCCUGGGCAAGCCAGCUGUGUUCAGUCUUGCAGUGUAGGACCCCCUGGACCUGAGGGGGACUGGUGGUCAGUCCAGCUGGAGUCGGUCGGCUCUGAGCACUCACCAGCAUCCCGACCAAGGGCUCACCCCAAGGGAGGUACAAUCAAGGGCUGCAGAGGGUCGAGGACAAGGCCACCGACAGAGGUGGGAACUUCUGAGCGGGUGUGGUGACCAUCAAAUGGACUGCCUCAUAGCCCCAUACACUUGAAAGCAAUCUCUUCGGAAAGGAGGCAGCAGGUAAACGAAAAUGAGCUGGGGACACAGGAAGCACUGUGUCACCUCUAGAGAGAGUGCUGGUCUGGGGGUCGGAGGGCUCCUCUCCCCUGUGGGGUUACCCUCAGGACAGGGUGCAGGGCGGAGUGUGGGCUGCGCUAGUGCACAUCCUGAUGAAGGAGCAGGGAGAUGCCAGCAGGCUGGGGUGGCAGCACCCUGUGUUCCCUUGGGCCACGUCAGCAGCACCCUUGUGGCACUGGCCCCCAGGUGGACCCCAGCCUCAGUGGCUUCAUGGGGUCUUGAGUCCAUCUGGUAGUUCUGGUGUUGGCAGCAACAGGUGAAUGGCUGCUAAAGAAGAUAAAAAUGGCAAACGUCGGGGGCAGGUGAGGAAAAAGCCACAAGGACGCCUGGGACAGACCGCCUCCCUAGAGAUCCCCCCGCCCAGACUCUCUUUGUCUCCGACUUUCUCUCUCUCUCUCUUUUUUUGUUACUAGAAUUUAGGACUUUUACCUUGUCCCAAAGUGCCUGAAGCAGAGAGCGUGAUAAAACAUCUUGCUUUCUUUUAUAGUCCCCCCCCAAGCAAAAGCAAAAACAAAAACUAUGUGUUGGAAAAAAAUUAGUUUUGCACAUGGGAUUUUGUACAAUAUAAAUUCAAAGCCUACACAUGAGGGUUAGCUCUGUUGCACGUUCUGGGACAUUUCCCUUCCCAUACGCAUCUUAGAAUAAGCCUAUAUAUGUCCACAAAAAAACUUUCCUGUGACUUACACAGCAAUCACAUUAAACCUAUAGGUUUGUUUGGGGAGAACUGACAUCUUUACUAUGUUGAGUAUUCUAAUCCGUGAACACAGUGUGUGUCUCCAAUUAUUUUGGUCUUUUUUAUUCCUUUCAUCAGUCAUCAUUUUGUAAUCCUCAGCAUACAAGUACGUGUUUGUUUCUUUGGAGCAGUUAUAAAUGGUAUUACAUUUCUGGUUUUGAUUUUUCCUUGUGUAGCGUUUGUUUAUAGAAAUCAAGUUGAUUCUUGUAUGUUUAUAUUAUAUCCUGUGAUCUUGCUGAACUCAUUUAUUAAUUCUAGAAGUUUCUGCAGAUUACUUAGGAUUUCUACAUGGACAAUCAUAUUAUCUGUGAAUAUAGGCUAUAUUUUCUUUUUUUUUUUCAAAUCUGUAUUCCUUUUUAUUUCUCUUUCUUGCCAUAUUGCACUGGCUGGAACUUCUAGCACUAGGCUUAGUUAGAGUGGUGAGAGCAGACAUACUUGCCUUUUCCCCAGACUUAAGGAGAAAAUGUUCAGUCUUUCACCAUUAAGUGUGAUGUUAGCUGUAAGUGUUUUUUGUAGCUGAUCUUUACUAGGCUUAGGAAGUUCCCUUUUAUUCCUAGUUUGCUAAGAAUCAUAAUUAUUAAUGGGUAUUAGAUUUUUUCAGAUGCUUUUUCAAUACCAAUUAAUAUAAGCUUAUGAUUUUUCUUCCUUAGUCUGUUGAUGUAUGGAUUACAUUGAUUUAUCUUUGAAUAUCGAGUCAUCUUUGCAUACUUGGAAUAAACCCAACUUGGUCAUGGUGUAUUAUGCUUUUUGUACAUUACUAGAUUCAGUUUGCUAAAUCUUUUGAGUAUUUUACGUUUAAGUUCAUGGAAAAUAUUGGUCUGUAGUUUUCUUUUGUCUUUGGCUGUUUUGGGUGUCACAAUAAUACUGGCUUCAUAAAAUGAGUUGGGAAGUAUUGUGUCCUCUGCUAUUUUCCAGAGGAGAUUUUGUAAAUGUGAUGUUAAUUCUCUAAAUGUUUGUAAAUUCUCCAGUGAAAUCAUCUGGGCAUGGAGAUUUCUUUUUCUGGAGCUUUUAAAUUACAAAUUCAACUUUUUAUGGGUUGUGUGAGGCUACAUAUUUUUUCAUUUUUGAAAAGCAGGAGGCCGGUACUAUGACAGCUUCUCGGGUAAGAAGUACAGGGCUGGAGGGGAGGGAAAGGAAUAAGUGGAGAUAAUUCAGGUCAGUAUCGUCACGAUCCUGAGAUUUCCCGCUUAUAAAAUGGUCCAUUUGUUGGCUAUGGCGCGUAAUGCAAAAGUUCAUCUUUAUUUUUAUACCUAAUAUUCCUGAGACAUUUCUGGCAUGAUUUUGAUAAACUUUACCAUUUCCUAUUUCUCUUUCUCUUUUUUAAAAUUUAUGACCUUUACAAUAUAGAAAUACUUCUGGUCUUAACCUAGUUUUCACUCUCCUUUUCUCUCUAUUAUAUUUAGAAUGUGUUUCCAAAGUCAGUUUAUUUUCUUGAGUUUGUUACAGAAGAAGCAAGCACCUGCCCAGGUAACUAAUGGAAGCUGAGAAUCUGUUCCCGGGAUGGCUCUCCCUUUGCAAAGUACAGUUUUUAAAAGAUUUCAUGCUCCGCGGGCUCCUCUGUCAGUGUCAGUGGAGAAAGUGUCACCGGGCUGAGAAUGUAACAUAUGUUGCUGUUUCAAACACACCUGUGGGAAAUAUAAGCACAUACGGAUACUUUCUGCAUCUGUAUCUGCGACAACUGCAGUGUGGCCUUUGGCAAACUGGUUUUCCCUUUGGGACCUAGAAGAAUACUUGCUACCAGGUAAUGUUUAUAAAGGGCUGGCAAAUGCAUUAUUUUAAAAAUACAGUUUUUGGGGCUUCCCCGGUGGCGCAGUGGUUGGGAGUCCGCCUGCCGAUGCAGGGGACACGGGCUCAUGCCCCGGUCCGGGAAGAUCCCACAUGCCACGGAGCGGCUGGGCCCGUGAGCCAUGGCCGCUGAGCCUGCGCGUCUGGAGCCAUGGCUCCGCAACAGGAGAGGCCACAACAGUGAGAGGCCCACAUACCGCAAAAAUAAAUAAAUAAAAAUACAGUUGUUUUUUUUUUCAUUAAGCUGGGAACGAGAUGUAAAUCAUGUCAGCAAGACCUUUUGAAACAAUAAUUUGUCUUUAGGAAAAAUGUCUUGCAAAUGUUCCCAAUGUAUCUUUUAAAAUGAAAAAUAAAUGCCCAAAAGACCACUUGUCUGAUGGCCCAUGAUGAUGAAAUGGGAGAGUGAUUUCCACUUGGAGCGUGUGAUGCACACACAGAAGAUUGUAGAGCGAGGGGCCCUCUUGGCUUGGUUUUUGUCUGUAGGGACAGGAAGGUAACCUACUUCCUGUCUGGUAACCCAUCCACCCAGCACAGCCAAGGCUGGGACUGCUGGUCCCCCCAUCUGGAAUCAUCCCACAAAAACCCUCCUGUUGUUUAGAAGUGCAUUAUUGUCAGUAAAUAAACGCUGUCAUCUCAGGGUUUAGGAUGUUAAGCGAGAGGGAUAUUGCAUUAAUCACUUGCAUCCCAAAGCAGGUCUUGCUUCCCGGAAAGCAGGAUAAAUAGCAUAUUUGCUAUUGCUGUAUAACUCGCUGUAUAAAUAGCAAAUUCAUAUUCUAUUGAUGUAUAGCUUUGGACCGCUAUUUAUUUUACCUUCAAAAAGUGUGAAACACUCCUGAUCUUUUUAUUUCUUCGGGGAUGAACAAUUACAGCAUCAAGAGACGUUUAAAUAAUGCUUAAUUUUUAAUGCAAGAGAACGAGACAGAUGGAAGUGUUCUGCCCAGACUUCAGAUCAGGUUUCUGGUUUUUAAGCUUAACGUGCAGUAUCGGCCUAUUAAGUGGCAUUCUUUUAUUUGCUAUGUUCUCCAUCCCCAUCAGACGUCAUUUCCAUUGAUGUUUUGUAUUGUUUGCAUGUUAGCACAUCUCCUAUUAAAAUACAGGGGCUGAAGGGGAAAAUAAUUAGAUUUAUGGCUUUGUACUCUGAGUUUCCAAUUUAAAGGUCUGUUAAAAACUAACUCACGCUGUGGUACGUACAUGGCCAUUAUCUGUUUAAAUUAGCUUAUCAGCACAAAGUUUCUCCUUUCUCGAUUUUCCUGGAGAGGAGGAAAGCUGACGACUGACCUCUCCACUCAGUUCAGACACAACUUUGGAUUAAUCGUCACAGCAAAACCCUCUUGACCCAGUGGUCACAUCACUAGCCAAUUCAUGAUGAUAAUUUCUACAUAACUUUUUAAUACUCAAACUUCUUUAGGACAGCUGGACAGCAGUGACAUCCUGAGCCUUCAGGCAAGCAGGAGGAAUUUUUGAGCGACUGGUCCCGAGGCUCUGGUGGGCCUGCUCUUACAGCCGUCCACCUGGAGGAUCCACAGGACAGAUGCUCAGAGCAGCCUGUGGGGAGAUCAGACCAGGGGCUGAAACCCCGGGUCAGUCCUGAAGAUGGUGGGAAAAGGAGGCCAGUAUUUUGGGGUGUCACAGCUCUAAAUACACAUUCUAUCUACUGGCUGAGUCUAGGCUCAUGAGAUGAAAGAUAAAGAGUUUAAAACGACGGACUUGCAGAUAUACCAAUGUGAGAUUCAACCCUGGUUCUCCUGCUUUAGAAGUUUUACUUGGGAUGAUUUCCUGUCACUUUUUGAGUCCAUUUCCUCAGUUUUAAAAUGUGGGAACUACUAGUUUUGUUUAAAUAACUUCACACCUUUUCUGUCUGGGAAAACUUUUUUCCCAUAAAUGGAACAGACUAAGUCUGAGGUAACCCACGAUGCCUUCCUGUUGCUCUAAAUUCUCUCUGACCCUUCCACUCGUAUGUAAUACCUUGUGGUUUAAGCAUGAUGUAGAAAGGAAACCAUGGAAAAAAUGUGGACAGUAACGUCAACUUCUCAUGAUUAGAGAGAGUAUGUGUAACCCCGGUUUGCUGGUUUAUUGGUGACGCUAAUGACAUAAUAGGCUUCAUGUCCCCUGUAACAUAGUGGGUUCAGACAGCAACCUUCUGGACGUGUCUGGGGCCAGGUGGAUUUAGAGUCCUGAAUCCAUCAUCUUGGGCUGGUCCUUGUGCCUCAGAGUUUUUAUUUGUCAAACAGGGAUAAAAAUACCUACCCUGAGAGUUUUGUUAAGAAUUCUAGGUGUUUUCUGUAACAAGCCAGCCAGCGUUAGGAGCCUGCCUCCUGCCUGAGAUAUUGAGGAAUUUGCUACGUGAUGCUGUCUUCAUAGCACCCCUAGGAGGUACAGUUGUUGUUACUGGCUUUCCCUGGACACCCAGGAAGAUGGGGCUCCCCUGCCACUGCCAUGUAAAUGGCUCUUGUUGAGUUGACCCAGCCAGCGUUUUCCCUCAGGAACUUCCUUUAAAGCCGGGUCCCCAUCCCUGGCCUUGUGUCCGAAGCGUUCAGUAGUGAUAAUUUCUAGAAACCUUCGUCACUGAUGACAAGAUGGAUUCAGUCGGGACCCAGGUAUCAGCAGUGACCCAAAUCCUUCCUAAUUAAUUGCAGCUUCUUUACGGUUGAUCUACUGUAGUGUAGGAAGUGGCUGGAUUCAAAACAACUGAAAACCUCUUGCAAACCAAAAAUAAUUGUAAAAAAUUUUAAAAAAUCAGUGUCUUCAAGGAAGGCCAUCACUUUAAAUAUACACCUCUCAGAAAGUUUAUCUGAUGAUACAGUUUUAAGCUCUAUAGAGGAAGCAGUAUUCAGUAUGCGUUAGGAGGAGGAAGAUACGCGCACAAAUGCCUUCACUUUCCUCCAGAGACGUUAAUACCUUCAGAAGCCACAUGCCCAGCCUGAGGAGCAGCAUAAAAGAGGUCAGCGGGGGAGACAGCCCGACUCAACCUUUUUUCUGGCUGUGCAACCCAGGACAGCGCAACCUGCGAUCUGGUCUUUCAAAGCUUAAGGCUCCAUAUCUGUAAAGUGGGAUAGUGCCACCGACACCUCGGAUUUCGAGAAUUAAGUGAAACAACAUAUAUAAAUACACGUAAAUCACGUGGGUCCAACCUUGACACAGCGUGGGUGUUUAAGAACUGCUCCCUUCUGGUCCUGUGAUUGUGGGGAGAAAGCAAAAGCAUUUCGUUUGUUAAAUGUUCUAUUACCACAUUUCUGACUUGGGGUUUUGCAAUCCUGUAUGCGUACCCUCCAAGGCGUCUUUCAUCUCCAGAAUCCCCAUGCGCUACAAACCUAGCACAUGAAGAUAACCCACCAUGAUUCACAGGGACCCCUAAUCCACUCCUGGAGCACGACCACCCCUGGGUAAAAAGAUCAACAAAUAUUUAUCAGCUACAUAACGCCGCGACUAAAUUCAAUGGAGUCCUUUUAUAGGAUUUCCCAAAGGACGGAGAUAAGAAAGCUGUGGGUGAUGGCGCUGUUACACCUGUGUGUGUUUAUCCAGGUCUUUAGAAGAUCAAUACUGUAAUCAGGGAGUCAAAUAUUAGGCAAUUAUAAGACUUCAGAGACUAGAUGAUGAAUUCAGUCCCUUUUUCUCCAGUUGGGUGAUGCAUUUAAAUCAGAAACAAUCAUCUUGCCCCCAAAGGGAGUGGUGCUCCCUUGUGGACCGUGAAAGCACAGGCUGAGGAUCCUCUGCCUUCUGUUUGUUUGUGUAUUUUUCAAAAUAAGCGAUGCAUCUUCUCCAGUAAACCCCGGGUGUUAAUCAAAAGACAGGAACGGCUCAUCAGCUCCGCGCUUGCACUCGGCUAAUUGCAUUAAAAUUCCUGCGUGCGCAGCGGACGGCACAGCCGCCUGGAGCGUACAGUCAGUCCCGGCUCCUCUCCCUCUCAUAUCCUGCUGUCUGUUUGCCUGAGGUUCUGAGCCGUGUUCAACUCUGAGAGAUCUCCAGACCUCGGAGCGUGCAUAGUCCUGUCCGAGAGUCAUCAGACUUCCAGGAAAUCCACUUGGCUAGAUGUGUGUGACCUUCACUUUGUCUUCAUUGAGCUGCCCAGUCGGCAGAGCCUUGAUUUCUCAAUAUUUGAAAUAGGAUUGACAGCUGAUCCCCUCUAUGCCUGGAGAGUCUCGGUGAGGCGCACCUGAGCGUAGCGGCCAGGAGCCAGUCGAUUGCCAAGAGAGGCGUCUGGCCCUUCAGAGACCGGCCCCGAGGGUCUGCACACGGAAGAGCCGCAGCAGAGCCGCUGCUGUUUCACAUUUGGGGUUCUCUGGAUCCACCAUUUCCCAGAGGGGAGGCUUUUAAAGGGAAGGCUGAUAAGGAGGAGAGCAGACCUUCAAAGACGAAGGCACUGAAUCCCCAGCAGCAAGGCCCUGCGAAGCACAUAGUAGGUCCUCACAGUGAAUGGCUGGACGGUUAAAGAGACGGGGCGGGAAGGGCAGGCAGGUGAUGGCAGGGAGAAGGGAAGGGCCCCCGAGACAGGGUGUGAGGGACAGGAGGUGUGUGCCUGGGAAGCUACGCUUCGGAGAGACGGGGAGCAUCAGAGUCAGAAAAAUAUGGGAUGUGGUUUAUCGUCACUGAGGACGUAUAUUAUGUGUCAGGAGCUGUGCUGAGCAAUUGGCAUGCAGGUCUCAGGACCUUCCCAAGAAGCCUGUGCACAGAUUGUCCAGACGUCACAGGGGCAGAAGUCCCAGCCAGGCGGGUCGGCGCCGCCCUUGUGCUCCUCACGGCUCUGGUUUUGUCGACAUCCGGGUUGGCAAGCUUCUCCUGUAAAGAGCUAGGCAGUAGAUAUUUUAACUCUGUGGGUCCUACAGUCUCUGUCACAGCUACCCUUGCAGCUCAAAAGCGUCCACAGACAAUAUGUAAAUGAAUGGCCAGGGCGAGGUACCAGAAAACUUUAUUUACAAAACAGACAGUGGGCCAGAUGUGGCUCAGCAGCCUAGCUUGCUGAGGCCCCGUUUACAUCAAAGUGGGCGGCUUCACUGGGGGACGAAGGCCAGUAAGUGUGGAGGGGGGGUAGACGGAAGGGGUGUAGGAGACGCCAGAGCAUGUUUGGGAGGCACGGGAGAAGGGAGUGACGCUGGUCGCUGCAGCUGGUCGUGAUGGUGGUGGUUCUUACCGUGGUUUAAUUGUAUAAUCGUUUCUGCUUCUAACAAAUGUUCACACAUUUUAAAAAUAUAAGUUAGAUCAGUCGGUGUCCUCGACUGGAAUCUCUUCCUUCCUAAGUGCCACUGCCCCGCACCUCCUUGUCAGUGACCCCUCCCUUCCUGUGGACAUGCUCAGCUGAGUUCCAGGAGGCGCUGGACCCUGCAUGAGAGGCAGUCUGAGUAGCUGAGUUUAUAAAGCAUGUAUUUCUCAUCUCAGUCCUUUCAUUAGCGCCAAUCGGUUUUGGAAGGGAGUUGAUGUCUUUUUAUGUGUCCUACAAAAAAUAUCAAAUGCAAGCAUGGAUGAAUUUUCAGCUAGUGAAAGUCACCUUGAUUUAAUAAUUUGUACAUGUAUUUUCUGUUUGUUACAAGUGCUCUGCUACAAGUAGAUCAUUUUAUCAAUUCAUUUUUGUUGACAGUAAAAUACCUUGGAACUAAAACACGGAGGUGGCGCAUUAGAACAAACUUGAACUUUCAGUUGCAAAGCACUGAUCUGCGUUAACAGUUCAAAGAAAAAUGCAGAAAAUGCUGCCUCUUGUCCAACAAGAAAACAAUCCAAGGACACAGCUGUUGAUGUGCCCGAGAGUGAGACGGGCUCGUCGUGUUUUGUGCCCAGCGAGGGGCACUCCAGAAGCAUCACCCUCAUUUGCUUUGUCUUCCCUCUUCUGCUUCGUCAACAGCUUGCCUCACUGCGCAUUAGCCAUACCAAGGAAAAUGUCUGCUUGUCCUGAUUAAAGUACCCCUUUGACAAAG